This 393-nucleotide ribosomal RNA is filed under the name uncultured bacterium. RNAcentral's name for it is "partial 16S ribosomal RNA". It matches the Rfam family "Bacterial small subunit ribosomal RNA", at positions 523 to 918 of the family's 1533-position model. The record is from RNAcentral.
AUACGGAGGAUGCGAGCGUUAUCCGGAUUUAUUGGGUUUAAAGGGUGCGUAGGCUGACGUGUAAGUCAGGGGUGAAAUGCCGUCGCUCAACGACGGAGCUGCCCUUGAUACUGGCGUGCUGGAGUACGGAUGCCGUUGGAGGAAUGAGUGGUGUAGCGGUGAAAUGCUUAGAUAUCACUCAGAACACCGAUUGCGAAGGCAUCUGACGAAUCCGUCACUGACGCUGAGGCACGAAAGCGUGGGGAUAGAACAGGAUUAGAUACCCUGGUAUUCCACGCCGUAAACGAUGAUGACUAACCGUCGGCGAUAGACAGCCGGUGGCCAAGCGAAAGCGAUAAGUCAUCCACCUGGGGAGUACGUCGGCAACGAUGAAACUCAAAUGAAUUGACGGGG